UCUUUUUUUUCCCCUCGCCUUCAUCAUGACCAUGUGACUCAUCCGUUUCCUUAGAGACAGCAGCGAUGUAGUGCACUAAGAUGCUCAGCCAGUGGAGCAGGAGUCAGGAGCACGUUCAGCGCUCAGGCAGCUCACAGGGUUGCGGGAGACCACCUAUCCCGACAGGGGCUUCCUACACGAACAAGUUUUGGUCGCAGCCCAGUGAUAUGAAUGACACCAUGAUGAUGUCUUCUGGGGCAGGUGCCUCUCCACAAAGCGUCCUGGACAGUCCGAGCCGACUGGACGAGGAGCACCAGCUGAUUGCCCAAUACGCUGCCCGCCUGGCGGCCGAGUCCGCCAACUCCGCCCUCCACCCGAUGUCUGAUUUGGGCUUCAGCUUUGAUGCCACCAAGCAGCAGAGGCAACUUAUCGCUGAACUGGAAAACAAAAACAGGGAGAUGCUGCAGGAGAUCCAGCGGCUUCGUGCGGAGCACGAACAGGCCUCCCAGCGAACCCCGGAGAAGGCCCAGCAGAACCCCGCGCUCCUGGCCGAGCUUCGCCACCUCAGGCAGCGGAAGGAUGAGCUGGAGCAGCGCAUGUCGGCCCUGCAGGGCAGCCGGAGGGAGCUGGUGGUGCAGCUGGAGGGGCUCAUGAGGCUGCUCGAGGAUGAAGAGCAGAGGCAGGAAGUGGGCGACUUCACCGUCCAGGGGGUUGGCUCAUCGAACCCCUCACCAAGCCACAGUGCUGGCCAUGCCACAUUCACCCUAGAGCAUUCUACGUCUGACAGAUCCACCCAAGAAGCUUCAGUUACGGAGACUUCCCUGUCUUCCCUGAUGAAAGAACUUGACUUUGAUGAUGACAGUGAGGAAGAAGAAAAGUCAUGUAACAGUCAAAGCAUGUGAGUUUCACCAGAGUGGCCCAGACAUAUCAAACUUAAUGUGUUAAUCUUCUAAUUCCAUGUUGCUGUUCGACUUAAAAUUGUUUGUUUGUGUUAACAGAGAGAAUACACCCAGCGAGUUAUGACUAACUCCUUGUCGACUUUGUACAGAUGAAGCUGAAAAAAAUAAAGCAAAGCAGAACUUCCAAGCACCCUGAGUGGACUAAAGAAAAAUGAGAAGAGGAAAUUCAUACCAUCCAUUAACUAUAACCCAAGACCACUAUGUGACCUGGAAAAGAUGUAAUGCAUGAUUUUUAAAAUAAUGUUACAGUGUAAUAAGAUUUGUAACACCAAGUUGUGGCAGCUAGAUGUAUGUCUGUAUGAGUGGAUGGCCCUAAUCUAACGGGUCCAAUGGUAUUGUUCUCUACUACAAGUGAAGAGGUGAAGAUAUUUUUGCUUUUUAUUUAUUUUUACAUUUUUUCCAUCUUGUAAGUGGUCCAGGAUCAUUACAAGACCCAUAAAAUGGAUUUCUUUAACUUUGUCCCUCCAUCUCCACUAGGAAGGAUAAUAUAGAACUCACAAGCCUUGGUUUGUCUGAUUUUGGCCCAAGUCACAGCAAGCCGCUUCCAGAACAUACUGCAGCUUUACGGUUUUUGAGCAUCGCUGAGCAACGGUGUCACCGAAUUGCCAGCCCUUUUGCAGGCUUUCAGUGUUCAGUGCGUUCAGUGACGCAUUCUCCAAACUGCACAGCCACUAUACACCCCAGGAACCACGAUCCACACCAAGCGACAUAAAUAGCCUGGCCUGCGAUUACAUAAGACUGCACGGUGAAGGGCAUUGUAUAAAAGGUACUAUGUUUUGCAAAGAAUAACUGACAAAAGUCACCCACAUUGCACCCCAAAGGGAUUUACAGUGCAACUAUUUGGGUGACUAUCAUCAUCAUUUAAUGUCUGCCUGCCAAAACGAUGACAUCAGAUGAACAAACAAACUGUGCUGCAUAAAUGUGUCUGUUUCUGAAGCUCUUUGUCUGUUGUGAAAGACAU
This is an RNA transcript of Scleropages formosus (Asian bonytongue), 1899 nucleotides long. It is a transcript of the gene named dystrobrevin beta-like, with no coding region annotated. The transcript has 12 exons. Lineage: Eukaryota; Metazoa; Chordata; Actinopteri; Osteoglossiformes; Osteoglossidae. The record is from RefSeq and is a predicted model, not a curated record.